RNAcentral lists this ribosomal RNA (502 nucleotides) under uncultured Glomeromycotina. RNAcentral's name for it is "partial small subunit ribosomal RNA". It matches the Rfam family "Eukaryotic small subunit ribosomal RNA", at positions 591 to 1092 of the family's 1831-position model. Lineage: Eukaryota; Fungi; Glomeromycota. The record is from RNAcentral.
CCAAUAGCGUAUAUUAAAGUUGUUGCAGUUAAAAAGCUCGUAGUUGAACUUCGGGAUUUGCCCAUUGGUCAGGCUUAACUGUCUGCACUGGUGUGACGAGUUCCUACCUUCUGAGGAAUCUCCAUGUCAUUCAGUUGGUGUGGGGGGAAAUCAGGACUGUUACUUUGAAAAAAUUAGAGUGUUUAAAGCAGGCGUCCGUCUGAAUACAUUAGCAUGGAAUAAUAAAAUAGGACGGUUUGGUUCUAUUUUGUUGGUUUCUAGGAUCACCGUAAUGAUUAAUAGGGAUAGUUGGGGGCAUUAGUAUUCAAUUGUCAGAGGUGAAAUUCUUGGACUUAUUGAAGACUAACUACUGCGAAAGCAUUUGCCAAGGAUGUUUUCAUUAAUCAAGAACGAAAGUUAGGGGAUCGAAGACGAUCAGAUACCGUCGUAGUCUUAACCAUAAACUAUGCCGACUAGGGAUCGGACGAAGUUAAUUUUUUAAUGACUCGUUCGGCACCUUACG